This 500-nucleotide ribosomal RNA is filed under the name uncultured bacterium. Its description in RNAcentral is "partial 16S ribosomal RNA". It matches the Rfam family "Bacterial small subunit ribosomal RNA", at positions 30 to 523 of the family's 1533-position model. The record is from RNAcentral.
AUUGAACGCUGGCGGAACGCUUUACACAUGCAAGUCGAACGGCAGCACGGGGGCAACCCUGGUGGCGAGUGGCGAACGGGUGAGUAAUACAUCGGAACGUGCCCAGUCGUGGGGGAUAACGUAGCGAAAGUUACGCUAAUACCGCAUACGAUCUACGGAUGAAAGCGGGGGACCGUAAGGCCUCGCGCGAUUGGAGCGGCCGAUGUCAGAUUAGGUAGUUGGUGAGGUAAAGGCUCACCAAGCCGACGAUCUGUAGCUGGUCUGAGAGGACGACCAGCCGCACUGGAACUGGGACACGGUCCAGACUCCUACGGGAGGCAGCAGUGGGGAAUUUUGGACAAUGGGCGAAAGCCUGAUCCAGCCAUUCCGCGUGCAGGAUGAAGGCCCUCGGGUUGUAAACUGCUUUUGUACAGAACGAAAAGGUUUCUACUAAUACUAGGAGCUCAUGACGGUACUGUAAGAAUAAGCACCGGCUAACUACGUGCCAGCCGCCGCUGUAA